UAAGCAUGGGAGUUCGCUAUAGUUUACACCCUAUUGUUAGGCCUUAUUCUACGCUUGAAUGCGCAAGACCGCAACUCAAGGCGGGGCAGAUAUCCCCCGUUUGCUGAAACCACUUCAAACAGAAAAUCUACUUAUCCAGUAACAGGCGACGUAACAUACGAAGGACACGCGUGCUACGAAGAAAUAGGAGAUUCUCAAAGACAGGGAAGGCUACGGAUACACAUGGGGCUAGGCUAACAAGUAUCUU
This 247-nucleotide long non-coding RNA is filed under the name Oryza brachyantha (malo sina). RNAcentral describes it as "long non-coding RNA (OBRA_LNC001583)". The record is from RNAcentral. Lineage: Eukaryota; Viridiplantae; Streptophyta; Magnoliopsida; Poales; Poaceae.